CUGUUUUUUACAUGGAUUUUUUGGCUUACUCUUUGUAAAAAAGGGACUGGCCAGACGAUUUUUCCAAAUAAUCCCAGAUUUUGACAACAUCACAAGUUAAAACCAAAAUCGUAGAGUUGCUAAGACUUGUUUGAUUUGAUCUGUAAUUGGAGGAAAGGUUUUGUGAUGAUGGUGUUUGACAUAUAAUGGCUGGGAUUUGUUGCGGUGUGUUGGGGAGAUUGAACCGGCGGCACUAAUGGAUUCAAUUACUCGAGCUUUCAAUGAAAAAAUCUGGGAUUUGAAAAGG
Molecule: unclassified non-coding RNA, 286 nt
Filed under: Arabidopsis thaliana (thale cress)
Lineage: Eukaryota; Viridiplantae; Streptophyta; Magnoliopsida; Brassicales; Brassicaceae
Source: RNAcentral